Molecule: long non-coding RNA, 448 nt
Filed under: Rattus norvegicus (Norway rat)
Lineage: Eukaryota; Metazoa; Chordata; Mammalia; Rodentia; Muridae
Description: long non-coding RNA NONRATT001735
Source: RNAcentral
CUAAGAUAUAGGCUCACAUACUCCAACAGCAGCCUGAUGUCACUUUAUUGCCCUGUCCUUGUCCAAGGGGAUGUCCUGCCUUCCCACCCAGCCAGCCUCCUGUCCUAGGCUAUAUUUAGGACUUGGCUACCCAAACCACUGGCCCCUUCUCCAGGGCUGAGGAGAAAGCACAUGAACUACCUUCGGAAACUGAUGGUAGAAACAAAGUGUUCUCCAGGUCCUGUGUGGUUCUGUCCUCUUCGGGAGGUUUUUACCAUCUGAAGCUUCGGGAUUUUAAAAGCCAGGCAAUUAAGGCAUCCUGGGUGGGAAAACUGUUUGCUGACGAUGGCUGGCCUCUAGUGGUGGAUAGCUGUAAGCCAGUUAUCUGGCAUCUGUCCCAACCUUUCUCCACUAAAUGUAAUGUCCCAGUGCUUCUACUCUUUAUGAAACCCGUACCUCUAAACCUUCC